This 339-nucleotide unclassified non-coding RNA is filed under the name soil metagenome. Its description in RNAcentral is "partial contains 5.8S ribosomal RNA, internal transcribed spacer 2, and large subunit ribosomal RNA". The stretch from base 1 to 120 matches the Rfam family "5.8S ribosomal RNA", at positions 35 to 154 of the family's 154-position model. The record is from RNAcentral.
GAUGAAGAACGUAGCGAAUUGCGAUACGUAGUGUGAAUUGCAGAAUUCAGUGAAUCAUCGAAUCUUUGAACGCACAUUGCACCUCUCGGUAUUCCGGGAGGUAUGCCUGUUCGAGCGUCAUUUGUACCCUCAAGCUCUGCUUGGUGUUGGGUGUUUGUUCCGCCUCUGUGUGUGAACUCGCCUCAAAACAAUUGGCAGCCGGCGUACUUGUUUCGGAGCGCAGCACAUUUUGCGAUCCAGAUCAACGUACAGCGGCAUCCAAGAAGCCUUAUUUAACGCUCUUGACCUCGGAUCAGGUAGGGAUACCCGCUGAACUUAAGCAUAUCAAUAAGCGGAGGA